RNAcentral lists this ribosomal RNA (322 nucleotides) under uncultured bacterium. RNAcentral describes it as "bacterial SSU rRNA". It matches the Rfam family "Bacterial small subunit ribosomal RNA", at positions 29 to 330 of the family's 1533-position model. The record is from RNAcentral.
AACGAACGCUGGCGGCGUGGAUAAGACAUGCAGGUCGAGCGAUGACUCCAGGGUAGCAAUAUUUUGGAGUUGGAGCGGCGCAAGGGUGCGUAACACGUGGGUAAUUUGCCGCGAAGCCUGGAAUAACUCGCUGAAAGGCGAGCUAAUGCCGGAUGUGAAGUUUGGAUGGCAUCUUUUGAACUUCAAAGCUGGGGACCGCAAGGCCUGGCGCUUCGCGANAAGCCCGCGGCCUAUCAGCUAGUUGGUGAGGUAACGGCUCACCAAGGCUAAGACGGUAGCUGGUCUGAGAGGACGACCAGCCACACUGGAACUGAGACACGGU